CAGUCGCCGCGGUAAAACGGAGGGGGCUAGCGUUGUUCGGAAUUACUGGGCGUAAAGCGCACGUAGGCGGCUUUGUAAGUUAGAGGUGAAAGCCCGGAGCUCAACUCCGGAAUUGCCUUUAAGACUGCAGAGCUAGCAGGUGAGAGAGGUGAGUGGAAUUCCGAGUGUAGAGGUGAAAUUCGUAGAUAUUCGGAAGAACACCAGUGGCGAAGGCGGCUCACUGGCUCAUACUGGACGCUGAGGUGCGAAAGCGUGGGGAGCAAACAGGAUUAGAUACCCCAGUAGUCCCUGUCUCUUAACA
This 301-nucleotide ribosomal RNA is filed under the name uncultured bacterium. Its description in RNAcentral is "partial 16S ribosomal RNA". It matches the Rfam family "Bacterial small subunit ribosomal RNA", at positions 509 to 808 of the family's 1533-position model. The record is from RNAcentral.